CAGUUUGAUCCUGGCUCAGGACGAACGCUGGCGGCGCGUCUAAGACAUGCAAGUCGAACGAUUAAAGCCCCCUUCGGGGGGUAUAUAAAGUGGCGAACGGGUGAGUAACACGUAGCUAACCUGCCCUUCAGACCGGGACAACGGUGCGAAAGCGCCGCUAAUACCGGAUACGCCGUUUGGUCUUCCCGACUGAACGUGAAAGUGGGCUUCGGUCCACACUGAAGGAGGAGGCUGCGGCCUUUUAGCUAGUUGGUGAGGUAACGGCCCACCAAGGCUACAAUGGGUAGCUGAUCUGAGAGGAUGGUCAGCCACACUGGGACUGAGACACGGCCCAGACUCCUACGGGAGGCAGCAGUUAAGAAUCUUGCACAAUGGGCGAAGGCCUGAUGCAGCGACGCCGCGUGAGCGAUGAAGGCUUUCGGGUUGUAAAGCUCUUUUCUGGAGGAAGAAACAAGCGAUUAAUAGUCGCUUACCGACGGUACUU
Molecule: ribosomal RNA, 484 nt
Filed under: uncultured bacterium
Lineage: Bacteria
Description: bacterial SSU rRNA
Rfam family: Bacterial small subunit ribosomal RNA
Source: RNAcentral